RNAcentral lists this ribosomal RNA (843 nucleotides) under uncultured Planctomycetota bacterium. Its description in RNAcentral is "bacterial SSU rRNA". It matches the Rfam family "Bacterial small subunit ribosomal RNA", at positions 28 to 897 of the family's 1533-position model. Lineage: Bacteria; Pseudomonadati; Planctomycetota. The record is from RNAcentral.
CCUGAACGCUGGCGGCGUGGCUAAGACAUGCAAGUCGAACGGUGUAGCAAUACACAGUGGCGGACGGGUGAGUAAUGUAUCGCUAAUGUACCCUAGAGCCUGGGAUAGCUGACCGAAAGGGCAGGUAAUACCAGAUGAAAUACCUUGAUCGCAUGACCGAGGUCUCAAAGCAGCAAUGCACUCCUGGAGCAGGCGAUAUCGUAUCAGCUAGUUGGUGAGGUAACGGCUCACCAAGGCGAUGACGCGUAGCUGGUCUGAGAGGACGACCAGCCACAUCGGGACUGAGACACUGCCCGGACUCCUACGGGGGGCUGCAGUAACGAAUCUUCCGCAAUGCACGAAAGUGUGACGGAGCGACGCCGCGUGUAGGAUGAAGUCCUUCGGGAUGUAAACUACUGUCAGGGGAAAGAAAGUUCUGAUCUACCCCAGAGGAAGAGGCGGCUAACUCUGUGCCAGCAGCCGCGGUAAUACAGAGGCCUCGAGCGUUAGGCGGAAUCACUGGGCUUAAAGCGUGUGUAGGUGGAUGCCUAAGUGCCUUGUGAAAUCCCACGGCUUAACCGUGGAAUGGCUGGGCAUACUGGGUGUCUUGAGCCACUCAGGGGCUACCGGAACAAGCGGUGGAGCGGUGAAAUGCGUAGAUAUCGCUUGGAACGCCAAUGGUGAAAACAGGUAGCUGGGGGUGUGCUGACACUGAGACACGAAAGCCAGGGGAGCGAACGGGAUUAGAUACCCCGGUAGUCCUGGCCCUAAACGAUGUCCACUAGAUUAUGGCGGUUCUAACGCCGUCAUGGUCGUAGCAAAAGUGCUAAGUGGACCGCCUGGGAAGUACGGUCGCAAGGCUAA